GGCCAUGGUUAGCGACGCGGUGGUGUUUACCCACAUGUAGGCAUAUGCAUAUGCUGAUUUCCACCAAGGCGGGGGUCAUAGUCUUUUUU
RNAcentral lists this small RNA (89 nucleotides) under Drosophila melanogaster (fruit fly). Its description in RNAcentral is "Dm2". The record is from RNAcentral. Lineage: Eukaryota; Metazoa; Arthropoda; Insecta; Diptera; Drosophilidae.